UGGGGAAUAUUGCACAAUGGAGGGAACUCUGAUGCAGCGACGCCGCGUGAACGAAGAAGGCUUUCGAGUCGUAAAGUUCUUUUAAAUGGGAAGAUAAUGACGGUACCAUAAGAAAAAGCCCCGGCUAACUACGUGCCAGCAGCCGCGGUAAUACGUAGGGGGCUAGCGUUGUCCGGAAUCACUGGGCGUAAAGGGUUCGCAGGCGGAAAUGCAAGUCAGGUGUAAAAGGCAGUAGCUUAACUACUGUAAGCAUUUGAAACUGCAUAUCUUGAGAAGAGUAGAGGUAAGUGGAAUUUUUAGUGUAGCGGUGAAAUGCGUAGAUAUUAAAAAGAAUACCGGUGGCGAAGGCGACUUACUGGGCUCAUUCUGACGCUGAGGAACGAAAGCGUGGGUAGCAAACAGG
RNAcentral lists this ribosomal RNA (403 nucleotides) under bacterium. RNAcentral's name for it is "partial 16S ribosomal RNA". It matches the Rfam family "Bacterial small subunit ribosomal RNA", at positions 355 to 776 of the family's 1533-position model. The record is from RNAcentral. RNAcentral also lists the same sequence under 1 other name.